GACGAACGCUGGCGGCGUGCUUAACACAUGCAAGUCGAACGGAAAGGCCCUGCUUGCAGGGUACUCGAGUGGCGAACGGGUGAGUAACACGUGGGUGAUCUGCCCUGCACUUCGUGAUAAGCUUGGGAAACUGGGUCUAAUACCGGAUAGGACCGCACUUUAGUGUGUGUGGUGGAAAGUUUUUUCGGUGUAGGAUGAGCUCGCGGCCUAUCAGCUUGUUGGUGGGGUAAUGGCCUACCAAGGCGGCGACGGGUAGCCGGCCUGGGAGGGUGGACGGCCACAUUGGGACUGAGAUACGGCCCAGACGCCUACGGGAGGCAGCAGGGGGGAAUAUUGCACAAUGGGCGCAAGCCUGAUGCAGCGACGCCGCGUGGGGGAUGAAGGCCUUCGGGUUGUAAACUCCUUUCGCUAGGGACGAAGCUUUUUGUGACGGUACCUAGAUAAGAAGCACCGGCUAACUACGUG
This 465-nucleotide ribosomal RNA is filed under the name uncultured bacterium. RNAcentral describes it as "partial 16S ribosomal RNA". It matches the Rfam family "Bacterial small subunit ribosomal RNA", at positions 28 to 507 of the family's 1533-position model. The record is from RNAcentral.